AAAACUUUUUCAAAAGAAAAAAUUUGUUCUUAUCAGUUUAAUAUCUGAUACGUCCCCCAUCCGGGGACUACAUAUUAAAUGGAUUUUUAGACACGGAGCUGGAGACCUGCGAGGCCAAUCUGAGACCUGCGUCUGGUUCGGCUCGAGCCAAGGAUUCCCAUGACAUAAGGCACGUGGCUCUGCGA
This is a small nuclear RNA of Carassius carassius (crucian carp), 185 nucleotides long. RefSeq annotates it as U2 spliceosomal RNA. The record is from RefSeq and is a predicted model, not a curated record. NCBI's taxonomy places the organism in Eukaryota, Metazoa, Chordata, Actinopteri, Cypriniformes, Cyprinidae. The transcript has a single exon.